GUUUGACCUCGGAUCAGGUGGGGAUACCCGCUGAACUUAAGCAUAUCAAUAAGCGGAGGAAGAGAAACCAAC
RNAcentral lists this ribosomal RNA (72 nucleotides) under Parmularia styracis. RNAcentral describes it as "partial 28S ribosomal RNA". It matches the Rfam family "Eukaryotic large subunit ribosomal RNA", at positions 1 to 69 of the family's 3401-position model. The record is from RNAcentral. Lineage: Eukaryota; Fungi; Ascomycota; Dothideomycetes; Asterinales; Parmulariaceae.